RNAcentral lists this ribosomal RNA (163 nucleotides) under uncultured bacterium. RNAcentral describes it as "partial 16S ribosomal RNA". It matches the Rfam family "Bacterial small subunit ribosomal RNA", at positions 1338 to 1500 of the family's 1533-position model. The record is from RNAcentral.
GUAAUCGCGGAUCAGCAUGCCGCGGUGAAUACGUUCCCGGGCCUUGUACACACCGCCCGUCACACCAUGAGAGUCGGGAACACCCGAAGUCCGUAGCCUAACCGCAAGGAGGGCGCGGCCGAAGGUGGGUUCGAUAAUUGGGGUGAAGUCGUAACAAGGUAGC